This 73-nucleotide transfer RNA is filed under the name Rhipicephalus microplus (southern cattle tick). RNAcentral's name for it is "tRNA-Lys". It matches the Rfam family "tRNA". From Rfam's summary of the family: Transfer RNA (tRNA) molecules are approximately 80 nucleotides in length. Their secondary structure includes four short double-helical elements and three loops (D, anti-codon, and T loops). Lineage: Eukaryota; Metazoa; Arthropoda; Arachnida; Ixodida; Ixodidae. The record is from Rfam by way of RNAcentral.
GCCCGGGUAGCUCAGUAGGUAGAGCGUUAGGCUUUUAACUUACCGGUCCAGGGUUCGAGCCCUUGCUUGGGCG